CCUACGGGAGGCAGCAGUGGGGAAUUUUGGACAAUGGGCGCAAGCCUGAUCCAGCAAUGCCGCGUGCAGGAUGAAGGCCUUCGGGUUGUAAACUGCUUUUGUACGGAACGAAACGGUGAGCUCUAAUACAGUUUGCUAAUGACGGUACCGUAAGAAUAAGCACCGGCUAACUACGUGCCAGCAGCCGCGGUAAUACGUAGGGUGCGAGCGUUAAUCGGAAUUACUGGGCGUAAAGCGUGCGCAGGCGGUGAUGUAAGACAGAUGUGAAAUCCCCGGGCUCAACCUGGGACCUGCAUUUGUGACUGCAUCGCUAGAGUACGGUAGAGGGGGAUGGAAUUCCGCGUGUAGCAGUGAAAUGCGUAGAUAUGCGGAGGAACACCGAUGGCGAAGGCAAUCCCCUGGACCUGUACUGACGCUCAUGCACGAAAGCGUGGGGAGCAAACAGGAUUAGAUACCCUGGUAGUCCACGCCCUAAACGAUGUCAACUGGUUGUUGGGUCUUCACUGACUCAGUAACGAAGCUAACGCGUGAAGUUGACCGCCUGGGGAGUCGGCCGCAAGGUUGAAACUCAAAGGAUUGACGGCUGAGACGNGCGAGGCGACGACGAGGGAGGAGG
This 616-nucleotide ribosomal RNA is filed under the name uncultured bacterium. RNAcentral's name for it is "bacterial SSU rRNA". It matches the Rfam family "Bacterial small subunit ribosomal RNA", at positions 338 to 947 of the family's 1533-position model. The record is from RNAcentral.